RNAcentral lists this ribosomal RNA (687 nucleotides) under uncultured Lachnospiraceae bacterium. RNAcentral describes it as "bacterial SSU rRNA". It matches the Rfam family "Bacterial small subunit ribosomal RNA", at positions 40 to 724 of the family's 1533-position model. The record is from RNAcentral. Lineage: Bacteria; Bacillati; Bacillota; Clostridia; Lachnospirales; Lachnospiraceae.
CGGCGUGCUUAACACAUGCAAGUCGAGCGAAGCACUUUGCUUUGAUUUCUUCGGGAUGAAGAGCUUAGUGACUGAGCGGCGGACGGGUGAGUAACGCGUGGGUAACCUGCCUCAUACAGGGGGAUAACAGUUAGAAAUGACUGCUAAUACCGCAUAAGGCCACAGCACCGCAUGGUGCAGGGGUAAAAACUCCGGUGGUAUGAGAUGGACCCGCGUCUGAUUAGGUAGUUGGCGGGGUAACGGCCCACCAAGCCGACGAUCAGUAGCCGACCUGAGAGGGUGACCGGCCACAUUGGGACUGAGGCACGGCCCAAACUCCUACGGGAGGCAGCAGUGGGGAAUAUUGCACAAUGGGGGAAACCCUGAUGCAGCGACGCCGCGUGAGCGAAGAAGUAUUUCGGUAUGUAAAGCUCUAUCAGCAGGGAAGAAGAAUGACGGUACCUGACUAAGAAGCACCGGCUAAAUACGUGCCAGCAGCCGCGGUAAUACGUAUGGUGCAAGCGUUAUCCGGAUUUACUGGGUGUAAAGGGAGCGUAGACGGCGCAGCAAGUCUGAUGUGAAAGGCAGGGGCUUAACCCCUGGACUGCAUUGGAAACUGCUGUGCUUGAGUGCCGGAGGGGUAAGCGGAAUUCCUAGUGUAGCGGUGAAAUGCGUAGAUAUUAGGAGGAACACCAGUGGCGAAGGCGG